This 473-nucleotide ribosomal RNA is filed under the name uncultured Verrucomicrobium sp. RNAcentral's name for it is "bacterial SSU rRNA". It matches the Rfam family "Bacterial small subunit ribosomal RNA", at positions 936 to 1409 of the family's 1533-position model. The record is from RNAcentral. Lineage: Bacteria; Pseudomonadati; Verrucomicrobiota; Verrucomicrobiia; Verrucomicrobiales; Verrucomicrobiaceae.
AGUAUGUGGCUUAAUUCGAUGCAACGCGAAGAACCUUACCAAGGCUUGACAUGCAUCUCUGGACACGUGAAAGCGUGCGAGCCUUCGGGGAAUUUGCACAGGUGCUGCAUGGCCGUCGUCAGCUCGUGUCGUGAGAUGUUGGGUUAAGUCCCGCAACGAGCGCAACCCUUGUGAUUAGUUGCCAGCACGUUAAGGUGGGAACUCUAGUCAGACUGCCCAGAUCAACUGGGAGGAAGGUGGGGACGACGUCAGGUCAGUAUGGCCCUUACGCCUUGGGCUGCACACGUACUACAAUGCCCAGCACAAUGAGAACCGAUACCGCGAGGUGGAGGAAAUCUGUAAAACUGGGCUCAGUUCGGAUUGGAGGCUGCAACUCGCCUCCAUGAAGUUGGAAUCGCUAGUAAUGGGGCAUCAUCUACGGCCCCGUGAAUACGUUCCCGGGUCUUGUACACACCGCCCGUCACAUCAUGGAA